RNAcentral lists this ribosomal RNA (587 nucleotides) under uncultured Burkholderia sp. RNAcentral describes it as "bacterial SSU rRNA". It matches the Rfam family "Bacterial small subunit ribosomal RNA", at positions 57 to 641 of the family's 1533-position model. Lineage: Bacteria; Pseudomonadati; Pseudomonadota; Betaproteobacteria; Burkholderiales; Burkholderiaceae. The record is from RNAcentral.
GCAAGUCGAACGGCAGCACGGGGGCAACCCUGGUGGCGAGUGGCGAACGGGUGAGUAAUACAUCGGAACGUGUCCUGUAGUGGGGGAUAGCCCGGCGAAAGCCGGAUUAAUACCGCAUACGAUCUACGGAAGAAAGCGGGGGAUCUUCGGACCUCGCGCUGCAGGGGCGGCCGAUGGCAGAUUAGCUAGUUGGUGGGGUAAAGGCCUACCAAGGCGACGAUCUGUAGCUGGUCUGAGAGGACGACCAGCCACACUGGGACUGAGACACGGCCCAGACUCCUACGGGAGGCAGCAGUGGGGAAUUUUGGACAGUGGGGCCAACCCUGAUCCAGCAAUGCCGCGUGUGUGAAGAAGGCCUUCGGGUUGUAAAGCACUUUUGUCCGGAAAGAAAACCAACGCCCUAAUAUGGUGGUGGGAUGGGUACCGGAAGAAUAAGCACCGGCUAACUACGUGCCAGCAGCCGCGGUAAUACGUAGGGUGCGAGCGUUAAUCGGAAUUACUGGGCGUAAAGCGUGCGCAGGCGGUCUGUUAAGACCGAUGUGAAAUCCCCGGGCUUAACCUGGGAACUGCAUUGGUGACUGGCAGGC